AGCAGUUCUUGGGUGACACACCCCAGAAUCGGGCUCCCUCCUCUCUGGUUCUGGGUGUGUCACCUGAGAACCACA
This is a non-coding RNA of Myotis davidii, 75 nucleotides long. NCBI's taxonomy places the organism in Eukaryota, Metazoa, Chordata, Mammalia, Chiroptera, Vespertilionidae. The record is from Rfam.